Molecule: ribosomal RNA, 492 nt
Filed under: uncultured bacterium
Lineage: Bacteria
Description: partial 16S ribosomal RNA
Rfam family: Bacterial small subunit ribosomal RNA
Source: RNAcentral
AGUGAACGCUGGCGGUAGGCCUAACACAUGCAAGUCGAACGGCAGCAUAGUAAGAGCUUGCUCUUACGGGUGGCGAGUGGCGGACGGGUGAGGAAUACAUCGGAAUCUACUUUUUCGUGGGGGAUAACGUAGGGAAACUUACGCUAAUACCGCAUACGACCUACGGGUGAAAGCAGGGGAUCUUCGGACCUUGCGCGAUUGAAUGAGCCGAUGUCGGAUUAGCUAGUUGGCGGGGUAAAGGCCCACCAAGGCGACGAUCCGUAGCUGGUCUGAGAGGAUGAUCAGCCACACUGGAACUGAGACACGGUCCAGACUCCUACGGGAGGCAGCAGUGGGGAAUAUUGGACAAUGGGCGCAAGCCUGAUCCAGCCAUACCGCGUGGGUGAAGAAGGCCUUCGGGUUGUAAAGCCCCUUUGUUGGGAAAGAAAAGCAGCAGGUUAAUACCCCGCUGUUCUGACGGUACCCAAAGAAUAAGCACCGGCUAACUUCGUG